GGGAUUGCCCUAGUAACGGCGAGUGAAGCGGCAACAGCUCAAAUUUGAAAUCUGGCCCUCGGGUCCGAAUUGUAAUUUGUAGAGGAUGCUUUUGGUGCGGUGCCUUCCGAGUUCCCUGGAACGGGACGCCAGAGAGGGUGAGAGCCCCGUACGGUUGGACACCUACCCUAUAUAUAGCUCCUUCGACGAGUCGAGUAGUUUGGGAAUGCUGCUCUAAAUGGGAGGUAAAUUUCUUCUAAAGCUAAAUACCGGCCAGAGACCGAUAGCGCACAAGUAGAGUGAUCGAAAGAUGAAAAGCACUUUGAAAAGAGGGUUAAAUAGCACGUGAAAUUGUUGAAAGGGAAGCGUUUGUGACCAGACUUUUUCUUAGUGGAUCAUCCGGUGUUCUCACCGGUGCACUUCACUGGGUUUAGGCCAGCAUCGGUUUCCGGAGGGGGACAAAAGCAUGGGGAAUGUGGCUCUUUCGGGAGUGUUAUAGCCCCUAGCAUAAUACCUCUCCUGGGGACCGAGGACCGCGCUUCGGCAAGGAUGCUGGCGUAAUGGUUAUCAACGACCCGUCUUGAAACACGGACCAAGGAGUCGAACAUUUGUGCGAGUGUUUGGGUAUCAAACCCUCACGCGUAAUGAAAGUGAACGGAGGUGAGAGCCCCUCGGGGUGCAUCAUCGACCGAUCCUGAUGUCUUCGGAUGGAUUUGAGUAAGAGCAUAACUGUUCGGACCCGAAAGAUGGUGAACUAUGCGUGGAUAGGGUGAAGCCAGAGGAAACUCUGGUGGAGGCUCGCAGCGGUUCUGACGUGCAAAUCGAUCGUCAAAUCUGCGCAUGGGGGCGAAAGAUUAUCGAACCUCUAUACUGUCGGCCCACCA
RNAcentral lists this ribosomal RNA (863 nucleotides) under Hypoxylon perforatum. Its description in RNAcentral is "partial large subunit ribosomal RNA". It matches the Rfam family "Eukaryotic large subunit ribosomal RNA", at positions 71 to 963 of the family's 3401-position model. The record is from RNAcentral. Lineage: Eukaryota; Fungi; Ascomycota; Sordariomycetes; Xylariales; Hypoxylaceae.